UACGAACUGUGCGACCGUUAUUCGGAAUCACUGGGCUUACAGGGUGCGUAGGCGGCUUGUUAAGUAGGGUGUGAAAGCCCCCGGCUCAACCGGGGAAUUGCGCCCUAAACUGGCGAGCUGGAGUGAGAUAGGGGUGUGUGGAACUUCCGGUGGAGCGGUGAAAUGUGUUGAUAUCGGAAGGAACGCCGGUGGCGAAAGCGACACACUGGAUCUUGUCUGACGCUGAGGCACGAAAGCCAGGGGAGCGAACGGG
Molecule: ribosomal RNA, 253 nt
Filed under: uncultured bacterium
Lineage: Bacteria
Description: partial 16S ribosomal RNA
Rfam family: Bacterial small subunit ribosomal RNA
Source: RNAcentral